CUUUUGCAGCUCUGUGAGGAAGAAGAUGAUGCCUCUAGUCCAUUGGCUGCACCUAAGCCUGAACCUAAUGACCAGACUCUUCAGGCUGGGGAUAAAGUCAUUUUUCAAGCGGUGAGUGAGUUUUGUAUUCCCUUUCGAAAAUAAAUAAUCUAUUUUGCACUUCAUAUUUUUGCAGGCCCUGUGACAUUAGCUGCUUAAGUUCUCUCUCACUCAUGUUUCUCUACUUUUACUUUAUUAGGUGCAUUACUUUGACUUUUUAUAUACAUCAGUCUCAUAGAUGCUUCUGUAAUAGUUAAUAUCAUGUAAUGUAAACUAAAAAGAUUUUAAUUUGUCUCUUUUGCUCCUGACAACGGUGCUAUGAUGUUUUUUAUUUUAAUUUGUUUUCACUGAACAUUUAGUGUGGUCGUUUUAAAGUCUGAGCUUUCAGUGUGACAAACAAAGUCCAUAUUUCUGUUAUAUUUGGACUGAAAAUGUACGUAUGUUUAGUUUAAAGUCAAUUGCUCCUUUCUUGAAAUUUGAAUAGUAUCUAUCAUCUAUUAUUUAUAUAGAAGCCAAAAAGCACAAUGUGCAUACCUUGGUAGCAAUCCCACUGCUUUAUUUGUUUUUCUUCACAAUCUCAUUCAUUUUUAUAUCUUUCUGUGGGUUGGAGGGUAGAUGGGAAGGGGUUUAAGAGAGGCGGGUGGUAAAUUGAGUGGACAGUUAGCUGCCCGACAUCUUGGCUGCCUCAUAGUAGAGUUAACGGUACUUUAUGGCAUGACGAUGCACACACAGAUUUAUUUCAACUAUCCUUAACAAUAUAAUUGAAUCAUUUGGAUUGCAAUUUUAUUCAUGCAUCUAAAUGCAAGUCUUCACUCAAUCGAUACGGUUUGUAUAAAUUAUUAGUUUGUCACUGGUAGUGCAUGUUGAAUCACUUAGGUCAUGUAAGGAUCACAUGACUCUCAAUUUUUAUGUAAUUCUGGUUUAAGAUCUCAGAUGGAUAGUGAGAUAAUCAUCCACUGUGUGGCAAUGAAACAAGGUAGAUGUGGCCAGAUUUUUAUCGGUGGAGAGCUUUAUGAAGAAGGUAGUCCAAAGAAAUCGAUUUUUUUUCCAUCACUUGCUGCCUAAAUGGGUAGGUGUAGGCAUGUAGCAAACCCACCAUCAAGGCAUGUAUGUCCAUACUUUAGAGUUUAAUGCUUAAUGUAACAUGUUUUUUUGGAUUUCUUUAAUGCAGCUUUUUACUAAAAAUGGAUUGUUGGUUAUUUUAUCUUGUGAAUCAAUCUUGGGCAUCAGGGAUGUUGACUCUAAUGGGGCUGCAUAGAACAGUUAUUAAGUAUUAAGCCUUAUUUGAAAGCAACUUGAUUCUUUAAAAGUUAGCUGUUUUUAUCCAUACCGAUUAAUGGCAUUGUCUGUCCUAAGUUUAUUUAAUGGUUAUUUUCUAUUGCAAUGGGCGUUAGGCUAGUUAAAAUGAUCUAUUUUUUUUUUAUUUUCCCCUUUUAAGUGAUUGAAAAGAAGAGAGAGGUUCUGGCGGUUUGGUUUGUUUAUUCCUUAGAGUUUAUGCUUCUUUGCUUUUAAAUAUUUUUGUUUUUCUUCAGAUAGCGGAAAUUUCCUCUUGCACAUUGUACAUUUAUCUAUAUUUCAAUCCUGAGCUUGUUUCAUCGUUGAAUCUCACCUGUAGUUGUAAUUAGUUUCCUGGCUUAACUGUAAAACAGGGCCAGCAGCAACAUGAUUUUCCGUUGGUUGAUGAGCGCAAGCAGUCAACCUCAGGAGUUCAAACAGUGGCAACUAACAACCAGGACGGGCCUGCUCUAGAAUAUCAGCAGUUUGAUUUACAUCAAGACUUUGAUCACAGCUUAUAUACUGGUUUCAAUGGUACAGGUUAUUCUGAGGAGGAGUCUAUUCCUCAUAUAUCUAGCUAUCUACCAAGUACAUGCCCUCCUCCUUCUGCUUUCUUGGGCCCCAAAUGUGCACUUUGGGACUGUCCAAGGCCUGCACAAGGGUUAGACUGGUGUCAAGAUUAUUGCAGUAGCUUUCAUGCUGCUCUAGCUUUGAAUGAAGGGCCACCAGGCAUGGCCCCAGUUCUUCGACCUGGGGGCAUUGGUUUAAAGGAUAAUUUACUCUUUUCUGCUCUUAGUGCAAAGGCACAAGGAAAAGAUGUUGGCAUCCCAGAGUGUGAGGGAGCAGCAACUGCUAAGUCUCCAUGGAAUGCACCUGGUAAUUAAAUCUUCCUUUGUUGGUUUUCAUUUUGCACAAUUGAUCUGCUACAGGUGUUGACAAGAUUGUUCUUUUAUUUGAAUGCAGAGCUCUUUGAUCUUUCUGUUCUUGAGGGUGAGACUAUUAGGGAAUGGCUUUUCUUCGAUAAGCCUAGAAGAGCAUUUGAAAGUGGAAACAGAAAGCAGAGGUCAUUGCCAGAUUACAGUGGGCGUGGUUGGCAUGAAUCUAGAAAGCAAGUUAUCAAUGAAUUUGGAGGUCUGAAGAGAUCCUAUUAUAUGGAUCCACAACCACUGAACCAUUUCGAAUGGCACCUUUACGAAUAUGAGAUUAGCAAGUGUGAUGUAUGUGCCUUAUACCGGUUAGAACUAAAGCUUGUUGAUGGGAAGAAGAACUCCAAGGCAAAAGUAGCAAAUGAUUCAGUUGCUGAUUUGCAGAAACAGAUGGUAAAGCUCUCUGCUGAGUUUCCACCUGAUAACAAAAGGCCGGCUAAAGGCAGAGCCAAGAUUAAUGCUAAAGUUGGCAUGGGUGCUGUCUAUCCAGCAUCACACAGAGUGACCCCUCUAAAUGGAACAUACGAAUACGGGUUAGCUGCACCAUAUGACUAUCUUGCUGAGAACAUGGGCGAUUAUUAUGGGACAUGAUCUGAUCCCCAUUGGAGUGAAGUACAACAUGCUGCAUUCAACAUGCUUAUACAUUAUUCAAUGCUGUUUCUUCUUUAUUUUGGCCAACCUUUUUCUGAGUUUCUUUUUCUCCCUUCCCCUAGUAACAAGAAUCCAAGGCCAUUUUUGUUUGCCUUGUCAAGAUAUUGUGAAUAGCUCAUUCUCACUGGAGUGCGGCAUUGAAGCUGCUGGAUGCUAGGUUCUAACCUAAAACUUACAGCAAUUGCUGUAUGCCAUUUAUGAUUUGCAACUUGUUUGAUGCUAGAAUCUAUUUAGCAUCAUUGGAGUUGCCCUGCCGUUUAAGCUCUAUUGCUGUGAUUCAUCUCUGACUAUAUUCUCCAAAUUAUGAUCUCAAUUUAAGUCAUUUGCACUAUUUUAUGGUAGUAGCUGCAGGACAAACCUUUAAAGGUACAUAGUAUUAGCCAUGUAAUAAAAAUGUUUCAGUCUCAAUUGAGUAAUUUUUGUAUGAUUCAAGGAAAUCUUUGAAAGCCAUCAGUGAUAUGAGCUACCUAUCUUGUGUUUGAUGAAUUCCUUGUCUGGUUAAAGUUAUCUUAUCUGCUGUUGCUUGUGAAAUCAUAUGUAACCAUCAUAAAGUAUUGACCAAAAUACAGAAACA
This 3465-nucleotide long non-coding RNA is filed under the name Lathyrus oleraceus (garden pea). RNAcentral describes it as "Pisum sativum (pea) long non-coding RNA (PSAT_LNC029082)". Lineage: Eukaryota; Viridiplantae; Streptophyta; Magnoliopsida; Fabales; Fabaceae. The record is from RNAcentral.